UAGUGCAGUUUACGUGUUUGUUUUUCAAGUGUUCGAUAUUUAAACUUCUCUAUUAGGGCGACAAUGUAGGAACAGUAUGCACAUUAUGAGCGUGAAAGAGGUUUGGAUAAAUAUUUUCUUCCGAACUGGUGGAGAUAGCACUUAAUCAGUUGAUACUGUAUCGAACAAAGUGUAUACAUGCUUAUAUGGAACGAAUUUAACUUAGUUUAGAAAUCAUAUAGCUAUGGGAGGAACCAGUUUUAAACUAGUCUUUACGAUAUUUAUACUGCUAGUCAACUCCUGCGUCCUCGGUCGUGAUUCCGAUGCUGUCAGCGAUGCUCAAUCAGCGGACAGUCGAGACGGCCAAAGCACUGCCCAAAUUGCCAUUAUUGUUACCGGCGUCGUUUGUGGACUCGCGGCCAUCAUGUGCCUAGGCGCCUGUGGGUACUUCUGCUACGCAAAAUGCUGCGUAGAGGAAUUCAUCAUCUAAGAGCAGCAAGGGAGCAGAAAACAAAUUACAAGCACAACAAUCAUGAAAGUAGUUCCAGUGGAAACCGCGACGUGAAUUACGAAGAGGCGUAAUUCGACUGGAGCUUCCACGAACAACUUGAUGUGGCAAGCGAGCCAUACUGUGCCUUGAUUGUCGUAUGAUAUGGCGUCUUUAAACUUAAAUCAGCGCCUUUCCCAUUUCGUGAUGGUUGUUGCUCGCUUCUUAACUUUUCCAAAACGGCGGACCAAGCAUUCUGCCUAUUUGGUGUUUGAAAUUCAGUUCUCCUUUGUCAAUAUACAUGUUCCUUUUACUUUCUAACACACAAGUUUCUUAUAUUUUUUAUUUGAUUUUAAUCGUCCAUAGACCUUGGGUAUUUUAGGCAUCUAAUGUCUUCAUAUACAUUUUAGUGUGCUUCAAUAUGUCGUUAAUACGAUUGCAUUUCAUUCCGAUAUAGUAUUUUGUUUAUUACACGUGAAAAGCGUUCGGACUGAUAUUCGACGAAUGAACAUGAUGCAAACCUACGUAAAGUUUCCUUUUCUGCUUUUUGUAAAAAAAUGCCCCCUCUACACUCGAAGAUUAUGCAAGGAAUGUAUCCAAUUUAUCAUAAAACACUGUAAUGACAGACGUAUGUAAUUGUACCAUAUACGUCGUGUAAAUAUAUAUAUAUAGAUGAUUCUAAAAAUAUAACUUAUAAUACAACAAUUUAGUUAUAUAUUUUUCAUGCUGAAUAUGACGACUACUUAUGCCAAAAGUAGUAUUGUUUUAGCCCACGUAUCAUCAUGAAUUGCUUCAUAAUUUUGGUUACCGUUAUCAACAAUUCAUCCAUAGCCGGUGCUUUUUUAUAAAAAAAGUUCGCCACUUUUUUAUUUUAUCUCAAAACAGAUUGUCUAAACAAACCUGAUUUAGUUUGUGCACGCACAAUCACUCUAAAUGUGUCCCAUAAUAAAUGUUAUGUAAUACCAUUAAACAAUCGGUAAUUUUGAAUACCAUGUAUUAUAUACUCUAUGUAUUAUAUAAUGUAUUACGCUCGUUUUGUUUGUUUGCUUAUUUUGUUUUGAACUGUUUUUGUAAUUGAACUUGUGCUGUGUUCUAAGUUUUUAUGUAUAAAUAUAUGCAACCCACAUA
Long non-coding RNA from Dreissena polymorpha, 1594 nucleotides. RefSeq lists it as uncharacterized. The record is from RefSeq and is a predicted model, not a curated record. The transcript is spliced from 5 exons. NCBI's taxonomy places the organism in Eukaryota, Metazoa, Mollusca, Bivalvia, Myida, Dreissenidae.